Dipodomys ordii (Ord's kangaroo rat) is the source of this 65-nucleotide non-coding RNA. The record is from Rfam. Lineage: Eukaryota; Metazoa; Chordata; Mammalia; Rodentia; Heteromyidae.
GGUGGCUCAGUGGUAGAGUGUUUGCCUCGCAUGCAUAAGGCCCUGGGUUCGAUUCCUCAGCACCA